GAUAAUAAUCAAGUACUGAAGAAGAAGGCAUUAGAAUAUGUGUGUACUGUUCAAGCAGUAGAGAACAGCCCUGGGGUUGCUGAGACGCAUGCACAAAUAGAGAGGUUGUAUUUCUACAUUCAAAAAUGCGUAUGGGGACAAAUUCAGAUCUUACUAUCAAGACAACCCAACACUUCAUAUUGCCAAAUGGCCUGCAGAAACAGACUCAUUCCUGAUUCUCAUGCAUUUAAAAUCCUGACUGUUUGGGACUGCAGGAUUUUCACUCUCUCAUGCUGUUCUUUUAUCUUCUUUGUGAGUGGUCUCUCAAAGGCUCUAAACAGCUAA
Cyanistes caeruleus (blue tit) is the source of this 324-nucleotide long non-coding RNA. Lineage: Eukaryota; Metazoa; Chordata; Aves; Passeriformes; Paridae. The record is from Ensembl.